This is a non-coding RNA of Odocoileus virginianus texanus, 450 nucleotides long. NCBI's taxonomy places the organism in Eukaryota, Metazoa, Chordata, Mammalia, Artiodactyla, Cervidae. The record is from RefSeq and is a predicted model, not a curated record.
CCUGGGGCCCAGUGGAGACUCUGGAGACCUAAGUUCAGGCGAGUUCCCCAGCUCCAGAGAAUGCCAAGAAUCACAGUUAUCAGAUCCACAGAACCCUGAACUGGAGACAUACCACUGUGCACCAUGGUAGGGUGCUCAACAGGCAGAUCAGAUCAGCCAGGCACACAAGAGAUUACGGUUCACACAGACGAGAUCAGAGCCACCCAAAACCCCACCAUUGGGACCGCUUGUUCCUGAAGACAGACAGCACCAUGCGAAGUCAGAAAGAAGAGACCCUUCACAAAAAGGUUACUGGAAACUACAUCUCAGAUAACAGCAAAUUGCAAUACAUCUUUGUCUUAACACUAUUCUACUGCAUUCAAGUUGCUUCUGCUUUAUUGACUAUGCCAAAACCUUUGCCUGUGUGGGCCACAAAACCCUGGAAAAUUUUUAAAGAGACGGGAAUAGCAG